RNAcentral lists this ribosomal RNA (459 nucleotides) under uncultured bacterium. RNAcentral describes it as "partial 16S ribosomal RNA". It matches the Rfam family "Bacterial small subunit ribosomal RNA", at positions 338 to 795 of the family's 1533-position model. The record is from RNAcentral.
CCUACGGGAGGCAGCAGUGAGGAAUAUUGGUCAAUGGUCGGGAGACUGAACCAGCCAAGCCGCGUGAGGGAUGAAGGUACAGAGUAUCGUAAACCUCUUUUGUCAGGGAACAAAGGCGGGGACGUGUCCCCGGCUGAGUGUACCUGAAGAACAAGCAUCGGCUAACUCCGUGCCAGCAGCCGCGGUAAUACGGAGGAUGCGAGCGUUAUCCGGAUUUAUUGGGUUUAAGGGGUGCGCAGGCGGUCUGUUAAGUCAGCGGUCAAAGCCCGGGGCUCAACCCCGGCCCGCCGUUGAAACUGGCAGUCUCGAGUGGGAGAGAAGUAGGCGGAAGGCGCGGUGUAGCGGUGAAAUGCAUAGAUAUCGCGCAGAACUCCGAUUGCGAAGGCAGCAUGCCGGCUCCAAACUGACGCUGAGGCACGAAAGCGUGGGUAUCGAACAGGAUUAGAUACCCUGGUAGUC